RNAcentral lists this ribosomal RNA (1469 nucleotides) under metagenome. RNAcentral describes it as "bacterial SSU rRNA". It matches the Rfam family "Bacterial small subunit ribosomal RNA". The record is from RNAcentral.
AGAGUUUGAUCCUGGCUCAGGACGAACGCUGGCGGCACGCUUAACACAUGCAAGUCGAACGAGAGAAGAGGAGCUUGCUCUUCUGAUCUAGUGGCGGACGGGUGAGUAACACGUGAGCAAUCUGCCUUUCAGAGGGGGAUACCGAUUGGAAACGAUCGUUAAUACCGCAUAACAUAAUUGAACCGCAUGAUUUGAUUAUCAAAGAUUUAUCGCUGAAAGAUGAGCUCGCGUCUGAUUAGCUAGUUGGUAAGGUAACGGCUUACCAAGGCGACGAUCAGUAGCCGGACUGAGAGGUUGAUCGGCCACAUUGGGACUGAGACACGGCCCAGACUCCUACGGGAGGCAGCAGUGGGGAAUAUUGCACAAUGGAGGAAACUCUGAUGCAGCGAUGCCGCGUGAGGGAAGAAGGUUUUAGGAUUGUAAACCUCUGUCUUCAGGGACGAAAAAAGACGGUACCUGAGGAGGAAGCUCCGGCUAACUACGUGCCAGCAGCCGCGGUAAUACGUAGGGAGCGAGCGUUGUCCGGAAUUACUGGGUGUAAAGGGAGCGUAGGCGGGAUCGCAAGUCAGAUGUGAGAACUAUGGGCUUAACCCAUAAACUGCAUUUGAAACUGUGGUUCUUGAGUGAAGUAGAGGUAAGCGGAAUUCCUAGUGUAGCGGUGAAAUGCGUAGAUAUUAGGAGGAACAUCAGUGGCGAAGGCGGCUUACUGGGCUUUAACUGACGCUGAGGCUCGAAAGCGUGGGGAGCAAACAGGAUUAGAUACCCUGGUAGUCCACGCCGUAAACGAUGAUUACUAGGUGUGGGGGGACUGACCCCUUCCGUGCCGCAGCAAACGCAAUAAGUGAUCCACCUGGGGAGUACGACCGCAAGGUUGAAACUCAAAGGAAUUGACGGGGGCCCGCACAAGCAGUGGAGUAUGUGGGUUAAUUCGAAGCAACGCGAAGAACCUUACCAGGUCUUGACAUCGUAUGCAUAGCUCAGAGAUGAGUGAAAUCUCUUCGGAGACAUAUAGACAGGUGGUGCAUGGUUGUCGUCAGCUCGUGUCUGAGAUGUUGGGUUAAGUCCCGCAACGAGCGCAACCCUUACUGUUAGUUGCUACGCAAGAGCACUCUAGCAGGACUGCCGUUGACAAAACGGAGGAAGGUGGGGAUGACGUCAAAUCAUCAUGCCCCUUAUGACCUGGGCCUCACACGUACUACAAUGGCUGUCAACAGAGGGAAGCAAAGCCGCGAGGUGGAGCGAACCCCUAAAAGCAGUCUUAGUUCGGAUUGUAGGCUGCAACCCGCCUACAUGAAGUCGGAAUUGCUAGUAAUCGCAGAUCAGCAUGCUGCGGUGAAUACGUUCCCGGGCCUUGUACACACCGCCCGUCACGCCAUGGGAGUCGGUAACACCCGAAGCCUGUAGUCUAACCGCAAGGAGGACGCAGUCGAAGGUGGGAUUGAUGACUGGGGUGAAGUCGUAACAAGGUA